This 253-nucleotide ribosomal RNA is filed under the name uncultured bacterium. Its description in RNAcentral is "partial 16S ribosomal RNA". It matches the Rfam family "Bacterial small subunit ribosomal RNA", at positions 524 to 776 of the family's 1533-position model. The record is from RNAcentral.
UACGUAGGGUGCAAGCGUUGUCCGGCAUUAUUGGGCGUAAAGAGCUCGUAGGCGGUCUGUCACGUCGGCUGUGAAAACCCGAGGCUCAACCUCGGGCCUGCAGUCGAUACGGGCAAACUAGAGUACUGCAGGGGAGACUGGAAUUCCUGGUGUAGCGGUGAAAUGCGCAGAUAUCAGGAGGAACACCGGUGGCGAAGGCGGGUCUCUGGGCAGUAACUGACGCUGAGGAGCGAAAGCGUGGGGAGCGAACAGG